Molecule: non-coding RNA, 349 nt
Organism: Podarcis muralis (Common wall lizard)
Lineage: Eukaryota; Metazoa; Chordata; Lepidosauria; Squamata; Lacertidae
Source: RefSeq, a predicted model, not a curated record
AUAGUAGAGAUGUGAAUGUUUUCUCUGUUUUGUGACACAUCCAGUUUAUAUCCAGAAAAUUGAUGCUCGGCAUAGACAUAAUCCUUUGUUGUUGUUUGUUACAGGGACCUGCUGGUCCAGUCGGCCCCACUGGCCCUGCCGGUGCCCGUGGUGCUCCUGGCCCUGCGGGUGCACGUGGUGACAAAGGUGAAGCCGGUGAACGUGGCAGCAAUGGGAUGAAGGGUCACCGAGGAUUCCCUGGUAACCCCGGACCCCCUGGUCCAAGUGGUGCAUUGGGUCCCCAAGGUCCAAGUGGAAGCCCAGGACCUGCUGGUGCAAGAGUAAGUAACCUGCUGAUUCUGUCCAACCU